Molecule: ribosomal RNA, 497 nt
Filed under: uncultured bacterium
Lineage: Bacteria
Description: partial 16S ribosomal RNA
Rfam family: Bacterial small subunit ribosomal RNA
Source: RNAcentral
GAUGAACGCUGGCGGCGUGCCUAAUACAUGCAAGUCGAGCGAACGGACGAGAAGCUUGCUUCUCUGAUGUUAGCGGCGGACGGGUGAGUAACACGUGGAUAACCUACCUAUAAGACUGGGAUAACUUCGGGAAACCGUAGCUAAUACCGGAUAAUAUUUUGAACCGCAUGGUUCAAAAGUGAAAGACGGUCUUGCUGUCACUUAUAGAUGGAUCCGCGCUGCAUUAGCUAGUUGGUAAGUUAACGGCUUACCAAGGCAACGAUGCAUAGCCGACCUGAGAGGGUGAUCGGCCACACUGGAACUGAGACACGGUCCAGACUACUACGGGAGGCAGCAGUAGGGAAUCUUCCGCAAUGGGCGAAAGCCUGACGGAGCAACGCCGCGUGAGUGAUGAAGGUCUUCGGAUCGUAAAACUCUGUUAUUAGGGAAGAACAUAUGUGUAAGUAACUGUGCACAUCUUGACGGUACCUAAUCAGAAAGCCACGGCUAACUACGUG